This 441-nucleotide ribosomal RNA is filed under the name uncultured bacterium. RNAcentral's name for it is "partial 16S ribosomal RNA". It matches the Rfam family "Bacterial small subunit ribosomal RNA", at positions 338 to 795 of the family's 1533-position model. The record is from RNAcentral.
CCUACGGGAGGCAGCAGUGGGGGAUAUUGCACAAUGGGGGAAACCCUGAUGCAGCGACGCCGCGUGGGUGAAGAAGUAUUUCGGUAUGUAAAGCCCUAUCAGCAGGGAAGAAAGAAGACGGUACCUGACUAAGAAGCCCCGGCUAACUACGUGCCAGCAGCCGCGGUAAUACGUAGGGGGCGAGCGUUAUCCGGAUUCACUGGGUGUAAAGGGAGCGUAGACGGCCGUGCAAGCCAGGAGUGAAAGCCCGGGGCCCAACCCCGGGACUGCUCUUGGAACUGUGCGGAUGGAGUGCGGGAGGGGCAGGCGGAAUUCCUGGUGUAGCGGUGAAAUGCGUAGAUAUCAGGAGGAACACCGGCGGCGAAGGCGGCCUGCUGGACCGCGACUGACGUUGAGGCUCGAAAGCGUGGGGAGCGAACAGGAUUAGAUACCCUGGUAGUC